RNAcentral lists this ribosomal RNA (253 nucleotides) under uncultured bacterium. RNAcentral describes it as "partial 16S ribosomal RNA". It matches the Rfam family "Bacterial small subunit ribosomal RNA", at positions 524 to 776 of the family's 1533-position model. The record is from RNAcentral.
UACGAGUGCCUCGAGCGUUAUCCGGAAUCAUUGGGCGUAAAGCGUGUGUAGGCGGUCUUGUUAGUCUCCUGUAAAAUUCUUCGGCUUAACCGGGGGCGCGCGGGGGAUACGGCAAGACUAGAGGAUGCGAGAGGUGAAUGGAACUCUAAGUGUAGGGGUGAAAUCCGUUGAUAUUUAGGGGAACACCAAAUGCGAAGGCAAUUCACUGGCGCACUCCUGACGCUGAGACACUAAAGCGUGGGUAGCGAAUGGG